Gambusia affinis (western mosquitofish) is the source of this 1371-nucleotide long non-coding RNA. RefSeq lists it as uncharacterized. NCBI's taxonomy places the organism in Eukaryota, Metazoa, Chordata, Actinopteri, Cyprinodontiformes, Poeciliidae. The transcript is spliced from 3 exons. The record is from RefSeq and is a predicted model, not a curated record.
CAAAUCCUCCAGCAGUACUGCCCUGCCAGAGUGCCUGAAUCCUUUAUGAGUCAACCUGAAGCUGUCAGAUAAAACCAGUGAUGGCCUGUCACCCGGAUAAAAAGUGCUAACCAGACACAGCCAAUCGGAGCUAGGAGGCAGGUCUUGAUGUCACUCAUGUCUCUGUGUGGUGCUGCUCAACCCCUGACACAGCUGCAGAUACAGGCGAGCAUAAAAGAGCAGCGCUGCGUGGCGGAGGUGGCGAGGAAGGUGACGACUAAAAGCCUGAUCAAACAAGGCCGACGCGAGCAGCUCACUCAAGUGGUCUGCAUUUAUGCUCCACUCAUACCACACACAGACUGGAAAUAGGCAAAUGUGGAGUAAUAUCCUGCUGAAUCAAACACCGACAGCUCCACUCUGUCGGCAGCUGAAGCUGAACAACCCUCAGCGUAUGAACAAAUGAGCCCACUUCUGCCCUCUGCUUCACUCUAUUAUAGCCCACGUAAUAAGAGUUAGUCCUAUUUUAUCUUAAAACAAACUCUAAAUUUGUCACGUUUUGUCAGAUCAACUCAACUUUGCUGAUAUUCCUCUAUUUCUUAUUUAAAACAAGUUUUGAGGGGAAGCCUGGGUAAUGUACGACGAAGUACGAGGGUCACCGUAGAGAUCAGAAAAAAAGUGCAUUUCAACCAAAACACUAUUAUUUUAUUUCAAAAAUUAUUAGUGUCGACAUUGAUGAUUAUGAUUUAGGUUUUUAUUUUAAAUUUCUGAAAUAAAUGCUGAUGCUAACAGUAGUUCAUUGCAGCCAUUUGCUAAAUGCAUCACAGAAAUCAGCCUAAAUUAGCUAAAACAGGUGAUCAGGUUUUGUCAACUUAUUUGCUUAAUAAAAUCGUCCCUAAGUUGUCUAUGUAGAAUUUCUAAAGGCAAUAAAAAAAAUGUAAAUGCAAAAACUUUCUGGUGUCAUGUUUUUCCUUUUGUUUACCUCACUUAUACAGAUAUCCUCAGUGUUUUACUGUUUCCAUUCUCACCAUGACUGAGAGCAGGUUUGUGCGACUCCAGCAGGAGUGUUUCAUUAUCAGGCUCCUCAGGGGAGGAACCUGCUGAGGCUUCUCACUGUGGACACCACUCUUUUUUUCCCUCUCGUCGUACAGGGAAAAAACAUUUCGAUCAGAAGCUGCAGCGCAUACUCACUGUGCUUUAAUUGCAUCAAAGUUUCUGCACAGGCAAACUGAGAAAGGAACGCAGGGAGCACAGGAGGUUAUGCACUGAGUGACAGAGCCCUGCAGGCCUAAACGACAGAAAGUCUGCCGUGCCUGGGAGGGCCUAAUGAAGACUGAUUCACAGGACUGCAUUGCUCAAUAAACACUAACUACAGCAGGUGAGGAGGGGAGCACA